RNAcentral lists this unclassified non-coding RNA (305 nucleotides) under plant metagenome. Its description in RNAcentral is "partial contains 5.8S ribosomal RNA, internal transcribed spacer 2, and large subunit ribosomal RNA". The stretch from base 1 to 105 matches the Rfam family "5.8S ribosomal RNA", at positions 50 to 154 of the family's 154-position model. The record is from RNAcentral.
GAAAUGCGAUAAGUAAUGUGAAUUGCAGAAUUCAGUGAAUCAUCGAAUCUUUGAACGCACAUUGCGCCCGCCAGUAUUCUGGCGGGCAUGCCUGUUCGAGCGUCAUUUCAACCAUCAAGCCCCCGGCUUGUGUUGGGGACCUGCGGCUGCCCGCAGGCCCUGAAAAACAGUGGCGGGCUCGCUGUCACACCGAGCGUAGUAGCAUACAUUCUCGCUCAGGGCGUGCUGUGGGUCCCGGCCGUUAAACGACCUUCAUAACCCAAGGUUGACCUCGGAUCAGGUAGGAAGACCCGCUGAACUUAGGC